Long non-coding RNA from Entelurus aequoreus (snake pipefish), 256 nucleotides. RefSeq lists it as uncharacterized. The record is from RefSeq and is a predicted model, not a curated record. The transcript has 3 exons. NCBI's taxonomy places the organism in Eukaryota, Metazoa, Chordata, Actinopteri, Syngnathiformes, Syngnathidae.
UGCUUCCUGUGCCGUCCACAAUUCAUACCUAGCUCCCACGCUUAUGCCGCGGAGGUUGAGAGUUUAAACUGAACAUUCCCAGUGUGUCCUGGCCAUUCUCUAGUCUAGCCGAUCGCCUCAUUGUGGACUAGAUUUUAUGGUACUGCACUUUUAGCUACCUUGCCUCAUGUCUCUGCAUCAAGGGAUCUACUAUUGACUGAGCCAUGGCACUUGUCUCACUUAAGGAUUGUGGAUGAUUGGCAAAAUUGUAAAAGUG